GAUGAACGCUGGCGGCGUGCCUAAUACAUGCAAGUCGAGCGAACAGACGAGGAGCUUGCUCCUCUGACGUUAGCGGCGGACGGGUGAGUAACACGUGGAUAACCUACCUAUAAGACUGGGAUAACUUCGGGAAACCGGAGCUAAUACCGGAUAAUAUAUUUAACCGCAUGGUUCAAUAGUGAAAGACGGUUUUGCUGUCACUUAUAGAUGGAUCCGCGCCGCAUUAGCUAGUGGGUAAGGUAACGGCUUACGAAGGCGACGAUGCGUAGCCGACCUGAGAGGGGGAUCGGCCACACUGGAACUGGAACACGGUCCAGACUCCUACGGGAGGCAGCAGUAGGGAAUCUUCCGAAAUGGGCGAAAGCCUGACGGAGCAACGCCGCGUGAGUGAUGAAGGUCUUCGGAUCGUAAAACUCUGUUCUUAGGGAAGAACAAAUGUGUAAGUAACUAUGCACGUCUUGACGGUACCUAAUCAGAAAGCCCCGGCUAACUACGUG
Molecule: ribosomal RNA, 497 nt
Filed under: uncultured bacterium
Lineage: Bacteria
Description: partial 16S ribosomal RNA
Rfam family: Bacterial small subunit ribosomal RNA
Source: RNAcentral